Long non-coding RNA from Oreochromis aureus, 153 nucleotides. RefSeq lists it as uncharacterized. NCBI's taxonomy places the organism in Eukaryota, Metazoa, Chordata, Actinopteri, Cichliformes, Cichlidae. The record is from RefSeq and is a predicted model, not a curated record. The transcript has 3 exons.
GAAGAGGAAGAGUAAUGUUUUUAUUUGAAGUAACUGUGAAUUGAUAUCAUAGUCUGAUAUCAUUGAGCAGCAGGAUGGAGGAAACAUCUCUGCUGUGUCUGCUCUUUCUGAUCUCACUGCUGAGCUGCACCACAAACCAAGCUCGUCUGACUG